GACGAACGCUGGCGGCGUGCUUAACACAUGCAAGUCGAACGGAAAGGCCCUGCUUUUGUGGGGUGCUCGAGUGGCGAACGGGUGAGUAACACGUGAGUAACCUGCCCUUGACUUUGGGAUAACUUCAGGAAACUGGGGCUAAUACCGGAUAGGAGCUCCUGCUGCAUGGUGGGGGUUGGAAAGUUUCGGCGGUUGGGGAUGGACUCGCGGCUUAUCAGCUUGUUGGUGGGGUAGUGGCUUACCAAGGCUUUGACGGGUAGCCGGCCUGAGAGGGUGACCGGCAACAUUGGGACUGAGAUACGGCCCAGACUCCUACGGGAGGCAGCAGUGGGGAAUAUUGCACAAUGGGCGGAAGCCUGAUGCAGAAACGCCGCGUGCGGGAGGACGGCCUUCGGGUUGUAAACCGCUUUCGCCUGUGACGAAGCGUGAGUGACGGUAAUGGGUAAAGAAGCACCGGCUAACUACGU
RNAcentral lists this ribosomal RNA (467 nucleotides) under uncultured bacterium. RNAcentral's name for it is "partial 16S ribosomal RNA". It matches the Rfam family "Bacterial small subunit ribosomal RNA", at positions 28 to 506 of the family's 1533-position model. The record is from RNAcentral.